Molecule: ribosomal RNA, 266 nt
Filed under: uncultured bacterium
Lineage: Bacteria
Description: partial 16S ribosomal RNA
Rfam family: Bacterial small subunit ribosomal RNA
Source: RNAcentral
GUCCACGCUGUAAACGAUGAGUGCUGGAUGUCGUGGGUAUUGACCCCCGCGGCGUCGUAGCUAACGCGUUAAGCACUCCGCCUGGGGAGUACGGCCGCAAGGCUAAAACUCAAAGGAAUUGACGGGGGCCCCGUACAAGCGGUGGAGCAUGUGGUUCAAUUCGACGCAACGCGCAGAACCUUACCUGGGUUAAAUCCACCAGAACCCUGCAGAGAUGUGGGGGUGCUCUUCGGAGAAUUGGUGAGAAGGUGCUGCAUGGCUGUCGU